UCCUGGCUAGGGCUUCACCCUCUGGCUUGUGCCCACGAACCUAGGUGAGGACAGGCACUCCUGCCUUUGGGCCCAAAUGUUGCAUUUUCCAAAACCACCCUGGCCCACCACACCCCCAUCCUGGGCGGAUAAAAACUGAGACCCUAGCAGGCAGAUAGAUACACAAGCGUCUGGACGUCCAGAGGAGGGGAUCAGCGGAAGAAGACACAAGCAGCCGGACAUCGAGAGGAUGUCGAGGGGAGCAUGCCAGUGGAAGAGCACAUGACAGACACUGGCAGGACAGCAGGCCAUUGACUGGAGGAACGAUGUGGAGUUUAGCGAGAUCAGGAGGAGGAGAGCACGGGCCGCUAAGCAGAGGGACCCCUGGUGCAUCUCCCAUCUGGCUCCCCCAUCUGCUGAGAACUACUUCUACUCAGUAAAACCUCGGACUCAUUCUCCAAGCCCUCGCGUGAUCUGGUUCUUCCGGUACACCACGGCAGGAAACCCUGGGAUACAGAAAUCCCUCCGUCCUUGUGGAUUUUAGAAUGCCAAGCUGACAUUUUGAGUUUUUAUGAGAAACCAGAAAAUUUGGUGUGAAGACCCUAAGUGGUGUGUCUGACUUACAGCAGGCCCACAGUACCUGUUAUUGAGUGAGAUAAGCAAAUGGUAUUUCAGGACCAAAACAUCUGUUUCCUGAAGAGUUGCUCCUUUAAUUGUGUAUCUACCUACCUGUCUAUGUAACUCUUGGCAAAUACAUUGGAGACUUCUCAACUUUCUGCUUCUGAUGAUCUCAACUUGUGGUAUGGCAAAAGGAGAGCAAAAUGUUCACCCAGGGGUCUGAGUUUGGUUCAAGAGAGGAACUACAGCUGUUGGUGACUACAACCAUCUGCCCAGAUGACAUCGUGAUCAACUCCUCUGAAUCACUCUAAAGGAACGAGAAGUCCUGGCAGCUGAGUCAUGAUCCCCCAGGAGCCAUUAAGAAGUUAAUCUUCAGUCACUUCCAUCCAAACAGAAGAAAACCCAUGAAGGAUGAGAACUAUGGGUCCUGAGAAUGACAGGUAAUUGGUGCCACUUUAUUCACAGAAUCCAAUAAAUAGUACUCUUUGAUUCACAUAUUUAAUGCUCAUUAUUGUACAUUUUUAUAAAGACAAGUUAGUCUAAAUUGCCAUUCAUCUCUUUCUUAUCAAAGUCCUACCCAACACAUGAUCAUAUCAUCAGAAAUCAGAUAUUUUCUUGUUGAAUGCCCUACCUAACUCAUUCAAUUGUAAUUUUCUGGGAAUGGUGACCAGAGAUUUGAUAUUUUUGGAAGUUACAUCAAAUCCUCAUUACUUUAUAAGUGAUUUAAAAUUUAUCACAUGGUACACUUUUCAUAUCUUUCAAAGGAUUAAUAUAUAAAAAAUAUAUAGUUAAUGCUCAGCUUUAAAGACAUUAAAGGACAGAGUUAUACAGAAAGAAAGAUCCAGAGAUCUUUCUUUAAUAAAGAUAUUAAAAUUGAAUCUGCUUAUUCAAGUAUAAUGAUAGAACAGAAAGAGAUCUUAAAAUUGUUUAAUCUCUUCCUUGGCUUUCAAAAAUAUAAAGUCUUCUUUAUUGGAGAUUUCUUUAUCCAUAGAAUAUCUUAAUUCCCCACUCCCCAACUUCCUCCCCAUGUGAAGUUUUAUCUGUCUUUAAAAUAUUUGUGUUGUCUUCUUCAGGAUAUAUCAUUGAUUGGCACUUUUUGAUUCUAGUUUUAUAUACUGUUAUCCUUGUAUAUUAAAGUAGGUCUCAAAUAUAUCUUUCAUGGUGGUGUGUAAGGUUCUGAGAGAGCUGGAAAAAAGGUAUAAGCUCCCUUCUAAAGUGCAAGUAUAUACUUGCAGAGAUAUUUUUUCACUUACAUUCUUGGAGAUCAUCCAUGGUCUCCCCAUGUCUUUUACAAAAGAGGUUUCCAGCACCUAUUAGGGAAGCUAGAUGGUCACUUGUAUCUUCCUUAUCUCUGUAUUAGAUGAUAAUAUCGAAUGCAGGUAAGUGGUGGUGGGGAGAGUAAUAUUGACAGAAUAGUUAUAUGGCAAACAUUGGCACCUCAGAAAUUUUUUGCUUUUUUGAGGGCUCUUAUUAAUAUUUGCAAACUUUAAAAAGCCUUGAAAAGAGUUUUAUCCAGAGCUCACCACAUAUAGAAAAACAGAUCUCUCUUGUUAUGGGAAUUGAGGCUAGUCCAAAUUCCCCCAGAUUAAACAUCUUUCCUCAUUUGGCACAUUCUUCAGCUGUUCCUUAAGAAAAAAUCAUACUAAGGAAAGUUAAUUCUGGGAAGUCUAGAAUUAGAAUAAAAUUAUUACACUAAAAGGAAAGCCCAGAUAUCUCUUUAAAAAUGCUUAAUUUUUUUGAAAACUCACAUCAGCACCAGAUCAUUUCUUUAAUGUGUACAGAUUUCCUUUCUUCAUUGACUAAAUAGCUUUGCUAAACGAGAUUAAAACCACAUAACUCAAAUGAGACAUAUAAGAUCUUGAAUAAUGUUCACAUAGCUACAACAUCAAAUUCCAGUGCUAAUAUAAAUUAUGUCUACUACGUUUUCAUUUAUUUGGGAUUAUCUGUUUGCCUCAAGUGGUGUAAAAAAAUUGAGCAGGAACCACCUGAAACUUCCUUUCACAACAAGAGAAAGUUGUAAUUUGUAUUUACUUUACCUAGCUUUCUUUAUAUGAAUGUAGCCAAGAAGCAGGGGAGGAAGGACAAUUACAGGAAAUUGUGAUAGGAAACUAUUAGGAAAAGCAAUUUGUAAUUUCUGCUAAAACUCUAGGUAAAUAACCCUGAGCAUUCAUAGUCUGGCAAGU
Molecule: long non-coding RNA, 2780 nt
Filed under: Homo sapiens (human)
Lineage: Eukaryota; Metazoa; Chordata; Mammalia; Primates; Hominidae
Description: HSALNT0307834
Source: RNAcentral